CUUGUCCAUUCCCAGACCCAGCCUUUCCUGGAUUUCUAAGUUGGGCCCAACCUGACCGCAGACCCCGUCCAGUUUUAAAGUCAGACCCUGUGGGUCCCUGGAUGCAGUCCAGGGCUCAGGUCNCGGACCAAAUCUGGUUUCUAAGUUGGGCCCAGCCUGACCGCAGACCCCGCCCAGUUUUAAAGUCAGACCCUGUGGGUCCCUGGAUGCAGUCCAGGGCUCAGGUCUGGUUCCAGAGUUUGGACCCAGGCUAACCCUGGACCCAGUGUGGUUCUGAAGGUGCCCAGCCUGAUUUUAGUUCAGCAGGGUUUCUAAGUCGGACCCACUCCAACUCCAGACCCAGCCCAACUUUGGCUAGCUUCCAGAACCAGUCGAGGACGAAGCCCAAAUAAAAUCCGAAAAGUCAUAAUGCAAAAGCUUUGGAGCUAGGACCCAAAACCCAGGAGCAGCUUUUCCACCAUUUUCAGAGGCAGCAGGAAAGCAGCAGUUCAUGUGUUACGAAAAUUUGCUUCAUUAAACAAGAUCAAACAAAUGAGCCAACAAGAAGUAAGCCUAUUUCUAACAAGCAGGCCUGAAGAGUAAAUAAAGCAAUGAGAAAUGAGUUGGUGAUUUUAAGUAAAAACCUUGGGGAGGAUGGAAUGGAAAUGAUUCAGGCCUCUACUUUGGAUAUGUCUGGAGACAAAAGAAUGCAUAAGCACACCGAGUCCUGGUCUCAGGAUGAGCAGUUUGGGUGGGCCAUGGUAGUGUUGGUCUGCCGGUCUGCGUGGUCCACAGAAGCCUGGAUUAAAUGAAUACAUGGCGGGGAGGACUUCUUGGCAAGGAGAUUCUCGGACAUACCCGUGAUGGGCUGCCAGUAUGUUAACAACAACAAGCCCCCAAGACAACGAACAGGUAAACCAAUUUGUUUUUUGUUUGUUUGUUUGUUUUUAAAGAUUUUAUUUUUUUAAUUUUUAUUUAUUUAUGAUAGUCACAGAGAGAGAGAGAGAGAGGCAGAGACACAGGCAGAGGGAGAAGCAGGCC
RNAcentral lists this long non-coding RNA (1020 nucleotides) under Vulpes vulpes (red fox). RNAcentral's name for it is "lncRNA (ENSVVUG00000029008.1)". Lineage: Eukaryota; Metazoa; Chordata; Mammalia; Carnivora; Canidae. The record is from RNAcentral.